UCACGCGAGAGUGAAUCAUCGAAUCUUUGAACGCAUCUUGCACUUUUUAGGUCUCCUAGAAAGUAUACUUGUUUGAGUAUCAUUAACAUUAAUCUAAGCGCAAGCUUGGGAAUUGAGACUUUAAGCUGCUGUGCCGAAAGGCUACGCAACCUAUGUCUUUUAAGUGAUAUGUAGUGUGUUGCCUGGUGCCGUUAAACGCGCCUAGCAAGCCUCCACAAUCAAAUGUGAGAUAAACAUCGCACAGAGUAGUUGAAGAGGUUAAGCACUGCUACGCCCAGAGGUCACUUCUAUAGUGCCUCAACCAACAUUGAAUCAGUGAUCUCAAAUCAAGUAAGACUACCCGCUGAACUUAAGCAUAUCAAUAAGCGGAGG
This 372-nucleotide ribosomal RNA is filed under the name Diptera environmental sample. RNAcentral's name for it is "eukaryotic LSU rRNA". The stretch from base 317 to 372 matches the Rfam family "Eukaryotic large subunit ribosomal RNA", at positions 1 to 56 of the family's 3401-position model. Lineage: Eukaryota; Metazoa; Arthropoda; Insecta; Diptera. The record is from RNAcentral.